RNAcentral lists this ribosomal RNA (462 nucleotides) under uncultured bacterium. RNAcentral's name for it is "partial 16S ribosomal RNA". It matches the Rfam family "Bacterial small subunit ribosomal RNA", at positions 28 to 507 of the family's 1533-position model. The record is from RNAcentral.
GACGAACGCUGGCGGCGUGCUUAACACAUGCAAGUCGAACGGUAAGGCCUUUCGGGGUCCACGAGUGGCGAACGGGUGAGUAACACGUGGGUGAUCUGCCCUGCACUUCGGGAUAAGCCCGGGAAACUGGGUCUAAUACCGGAUAGGAAUGCGCGGUGCAUGCCGUGUGGUGGAAAGAUUGAUCGGUGCAGGAUGGGCCCGCGGCCUAUCAGCUUGUUGGUGGGGUAAUGGCCUACCAAGGCGACGACGGGUAGCCGGCCUGAGAGGGCGACCGGCCACACUGGGACUGAGACACGACCCAGACUCCUACGGGAGGCAGCAGUGGGGAAUAUUGCACAAUGGGCGCAAGCCUGAUGCAGCGACGCCGCGUGAGGGAUGACGGCCUUCGGGUUGUAAACCUCUUUCAGCAGGGACGAAGCGUGAGUGACGGUACCUGCAGAAGAAGCACCGGCCAACUACGUG